Molecule: ribosomal RNA, 460 nt
Filed under: uncultured bacterium
Lineage: Bacteria
Description: bacterial SSU rRNA
Rfam family: Bacterial small subunit ribosomal RNA
Source: RNAcentral
GAUGAACGCUGGCGGUAUGCCUAACACAUGCAAGUCGUACGAGAGUUUUUAACUCUAGUGGCGGACGGGUGAGUAACACGUGAGAAUUUGCCUUUAGGAGGGGGAUAACAAUUGGAACGAAUGCUAAUACCCCAUAUGCUUUUGAGUGAAAUGGAUUUUAUCCGCCUAGAGAGAAGCUCGCGGCUGAUUAGCUUGUUGGUAAGGUAAGAGCUUACCAAGGCGACGAUCAGUAUCUGGUUUGAGAGGACGAUCAGACACACUGGAACUGAGACACGGCCCAGACUCCUACGGGAGGCAGCAGUGGGGAAUUUUGGACAAUGGGGGAAACCCUGAUCCAGCAAUGCCGCGUGAGUGAAGAAGGCCUUCGGGUUGUAAAGCUCUUUUGUCAGGGAAGAAACACCGGCUCUAACACAGUCCGGGAAUGACGGUACCUGAAGAAUAAGCACCGGCUAACUACGUG